RNAcentral lists this transfer RNA (72 nucleotides) under Fukomys damarensis (Damara mole-rat). It matches the Rfam family "tRNA". Rfam says of the family: Transfer RNA (tRNA) molecules are approximately 80 nucleotides in length. Their secondary structure includes four short double-helical elements and three loops (D, anti-codon, and T loops). Further hydrogen bonds mediate the characteristic L-shaped molecular structure. tRNAs have two regions of fundamental functional importance: the anti-codon, which is responsible for specific mRNA codon recognition, and the 3' end, to which the tRNAs corresponding amino acid is attached (by aminoacyl-tRNA synthetases). tRNAs cope with the degeneracy of the genetic code in two manners: having more than one tRNA (with a specific anti-codon) for a particular amino acid; and 'wobble' base-pairing, i.e. permitting non-standard base-pairing at the 3rd anti-codon position. The record is from Rfam by way of RNAcentral. Lineage: Eukaryota; Metazoa; Chordata; Mammalia; Rodentia; Bathyergidae.
AGGGAUUUAGCUCAGUGGCACAGUGCCUGCCUGGCAAGUAUAAGGUCUUAAGUUCAAUCCUCAAAACCCCCU